GGGGGGUCUCAAACCAGCUCAGAUUUUUUUGGGGGGUGGUCCCAAAUGACCCCAAAUUUUGGGGUGGGGGGUCACAGCUGCUCCAAAAUUUGGGGAGGGGUCCCUGACGAGCCCCUCCUCAAAUUGGGGGGGGGGCUAAAACCUCCUGGACCCCUCCAAAACCCCCCAGGACCCCCCCCCAAAAUGACUCCCAUGGUCCAAACGAGACCCAAAAUUUUGGGGAGGGGGCCCCAAAUGAGCCCCAAAAUUUUGAGGGGGGGUCACAACCACUCCAAAAUUUGGGGAGGGGUCCCAGACGAGCUUCUCCUCAAAUCUGGGGGGGGUCUCAACCCUUCUGGACUCCCUAAAACCCCCCCUGGACCCCCCCAAAAUUAUUCCCAUGGUCCAAAUGGGGGCCCCAAGUGACCCCAAAAUUUUGGGGAGGGGGCUCCAAAUGACCCCCAAAUUUUGGGGUGGGGGGGGUCACAACCACUCCAGAAUUUGGGGAGGGGUCCCACACCAUCCCCUCCUCAUGGGGGGUCCCCAAAGAGCAAUCCGGGGGGGGUCUCACCCCUUUGGGACCCCCAAAACCCCCCCAAAACGACUCCCAUGGCCCAAACGAACCCCAAAUUCGGGGAGGGGUCCCAAAUUCGGGGAGGGGUCCCAAAUUCGGGGCGGGGUCUCAGAUGAGGCGCUCCUCGUGGGGAGGGGUCACACGGGGGGGGGGUCACACAGGGGGGGUCUCACCCCUUUGGGACCCUCCCCAAAACCCCCCAAAACGACUCCCAUGGUCCAAAGCAGCCCCGAAUUCGGGGCGGGGUCAGAAUUCGGGGCGGGGUCUCAGAUGAGGCGCUCCUCGGGGGGCAGGCGCAGCGGGGCGGGGCCCGGGGGGGCUGCCCUGGCGCCCCCCCCCAUCUCCUCGCGGCUGGGCCGGUAGGAGCCCUCGGUGCGGCGCUUCUCGCGCAGGCGCAGCGCCGCCAGCAGCAGCAGCCCCAGCAGCGCCAGCGCCCCCAGACCCCCGAAAAUCACCGAGAGAGCGACCACCCCCGCGGGCUGCGGGGGGACAGCGGGGUCAGGGGCGCCCCGAAAUGCGGAGACCCCGAAAUCCCCCUUAAAAUCCCCGAAAUCCCCGUUAAAAUCCCCAAAAUCCCCGUUA
RNAcentral lists this long non-coding RNA (1135 nucleotides) under Camarhynchus parvulus. RNAcentral's name for it is "lncRNA (ENSCPVG00000016758.1)". Lineage: Eukaryota; Metazoa; Chordata; Aves; Passeriformes; Thraupidae. The record is from RNAcentral.